Molecule: ribosomal RNA, 1269 nt
Filed under: Telenomus remus
Lineage: Eukaryota; Metazoa; Arthropoda; Insecta; Hymenoptera; Scelionidae
Description: 16S ribosomal RNA
Source: RNAcentral
AUUAAUUAUUUAAUAAUUAAUUAUUUUAUUUAUUUUAUUAUUUAAUUUUUAUAAAAAAUAUUUUAAAAAAUUUUAUUUUUAGUAAAUUAAUUAGAAAAAAAAUUAUUAUUUUUUGAAAAAUAUUAAUAAAAAAAAAUUUUAUAAAAAAAAUUAAUUUUUUGUUCCUUUUGUAUAAGGAUUAUUUAAAUAAAUUUUAAUUAUUUUAAUUUUCUCGAACUUAAAUGAGAUAAAAUUUUAUUUUUCUUAAUGUUACAUAAUUAAUAAAAAUAAAAUUUUUGAAAUUAUAUGUUAUUCAAAUUUAUAUAUCUAGUUUUUUAAUAUUUAAAUUUAAUUUAAAAUUAUUUUAUUUUUUAAUUUUUUAAAAAAAUUAUUUUAAAAAAUAAUUAAAAAAUAAAAGAGAUAAAUUUUUUAUUUAUUUUAAAAUUCAAUUUUUUUAAUUAUUCUUUUUUUAAUUUAAGUUAUUUUAAAAUUUUAUAAUUUUAAAUUUUAUUAUUUAAAUAAAUUUUUAUUUUUAUUAUUUAAUUAAUAUAUUAAAAUUUAAUUUUUAAUUAUUUAAAAUUAUUAAUAAUGGAUUAAAUUAGUAUUUAUAUAUUUUAAUAAAUAAUUUUUUAUAAAAUUAUUUUUAAAUAACUCGGCAAUUAUAAUUUUCACUUGUUUAUCAAAAACAUGUCUUAAUGAAAAAUAAUUUUAGGUUUAAUCUGUUCAAUGAUAAAAUUAUUAAAUAAUUGCAGUAUAUUGACUGUGCAAAGGUAGCAAAAUCAUUUGUUUUUUAAUUGAAAACUGGAAUGAAAGAUUGAAUGAAAAAUAAACUUUUUUAAAAAUUUUUAAAGAAUUUUUUUAUAAAAUAAAAAAAUUUUAUUAUAUUUAAAAGACGAUAAGACCCUAUAAAAUUUAAUAUUUAUAUUUUUAUUUAAUAAUAUUUUUAUAAAUAUAUAUUUAUUUGAUUGGGGUGAUUAAAAAAUUUUAAAAACUUUUAUUUUUAAAAAAAAUUAAUAUUUUAUUUAAUUAAUAAUUUUAAUUAUUUAUAAAUAAAAUUACUUUAGGGAUAACAGCAUAAUAUUAUUAGAUAGUUCAUAUUGAUAAUAAUGAUUAUGACCUCGAUGUUGAAUUAAUUAAAUUAAUAAAUUAAAUUGUUUUAAUUUUAGAAGAAAAAAUUAUAUUUAGUCUGUUCGACUAUUAAAACUUUACAUGAUUUGAGUUCAAAUCGGCGUGAGCCAGAUUGGUUUCUAUCUUUAAAAUUUUUAAUAAGUUUUUGUACGAAAGGAUUAA